RNAcentral lists this unclassified non-coding RNA (238 nucleotides) under uncultured fungus. RNAcentral describes it as "sequence contains ITS2". Lineage: Eukaryota; Fungi. The record is from RNAcentral.
AACGCACAUUGCGCCCCUUGGUAUUCCGGGGGGCAUGCCUGUUCGAGCGUCAUUACAACCCUCAAGCUCAGCUUGGUGUUGGGUAGCAUCAGCGAUGGUGUGCCCUAAAGCCAAUGGCGGUACUGCCUAGCUCCUAAGCGUAGUAAGUUUCUCGCUAUGGGUGCCUGGUAAGCGCUUGCCAUAAUCACUAUAUCUUAUGGUUGACCUCGGAUCAGGUAGGGAUACCCGCUGAACUUAA